AUGGAACAAGUAGUUGAGGAAGAGGAAGAGGAAGUCUACUUACCUGAUGACAUCAUGCCCACCUAUGAGAAAGAAGCAGUGAUGUUUGAAUAUAAGAAGAGAAAGACUUCAAAAAAGCAGGGAUCCUGGGGACCAGUACAAGCUGCUAGAAAAAGCAACAGAGUGAAAGACAACUUACCCAUCAUGGAGAAGGCUGAGCUGCUCAAAAUGAGGAAAAACUUGGAGAUUCCAAAAACAACAGUGAGAGGUCUGGCAGAAGAUAAGUUCAUACUUGGGGGACUGGACGAAACUGCACAAAGAGCUACAGGAAGGGGUGAUGAAACUCUUCAGAGACCACAUGUUGAGAAAGCUGAGAUCACCGCUGGAACUGGAACCAGACUGAGAUGCUGUGAAACUGCGGAACAACUUUCCUGGUCCAAAAACAUCCACGGGAUGUCACAUGGAGGGCGUGCUACCCUGGAGCAAGUAAAAGAGAACCCAAGGCUAGUGGAAGAAGUUCAUGUGGUCUUCUUCCCAAUGAGCUGA
RNAcentral lists this ribosomal RNA (525 nucleotides) under Triticum aestivum (bread wheat). Its description in RNAcentral is "partial small subunit ribosomal RNA". The record is from RNAcentral. Lineage: Eukaryota; Viridiplantae; Streptophyta; Magnoliopsida; Poales; Poaceae.